UACGUAGGGUGCGAGCGUUAAUCGGAAUUACUGGGCGUAAAGCGUGCGCAGGCGGUUCGUUGUGUCGGUGGUGAAAUCCCCGGGCUUAACCUGGGAACUGCAGUCGAGACUGUCUAGCUAGAGUAUGGGAGAGGGAAGUGGAAUUUCAGGUGUAGCGGUGAAAUGCGUAGAUAUCUGAAGGAACAUCAGUGGCGAAAGCGACUUCCUGGACCAAUACUGACGCUCAUGUGCGAAAGCGUGGGGAGCAAACAGG
This 253-nucleotide ribosomal RNA is filed under the name uncultured bacterium. RNAcentral's name for it is "partial 16S ribosomal RNA". It matches the Rfam family "Bacterial small subunit ribosomal RNA", at positions 524 to 776 of the family's 1533-position model. The record is from RNAcentral.